Molecule: unclassified non-coding RNA, 391 nt
Filed under: Hevea brasiliensis (rubber tree)
Lineage: Eukaryota; Viridiplantae; Streptophyta; Magnoliopsida; Malpighiales; Euphorbiaceae
Source: RNAcentral
GAAGAUUUUGACUUUGGUUGGGAGACGCAUGUUAGCCAAACUAACAGUUCGGGUAAUGUAUAUAAUCCUAAACCUGCAGAGACACUGGAGGUAAGUAGACAUCCUCAGUUAAUGGAAAAUAUAGCUGAUUUGGACAUUCAGUAUGGUGAUUGGUUAGUUUCUGCACCUUCAGACGCCCCAGUUUCAACAGGAUUUAACAUAUUGUCCCCUGAAGCUUCUCCCAUAGAUUCUGGAUAUUUUGUUGACUUCUGAAUGUUGGUGGUGUCCUUGAUGAAACAUGGCCUUCUGGUUUCUUCAAAGUUUUUUCUUUUAAAAACAAAAUUAGGAAUGCUUCUCCCAUUUAAAGGGUAGCAAGGUACAUAGGGUUAAAGAAUUAGGGUUAACAGGUUCA